Molecule: ribosomal RNA, 220 nt
Filed under: uncultured bacterium
Lineage: Bacteria
Description: partial 16S ribosomal RNA
Rfam family: Bacterial small subunit ribosomal RNA
Source: RNAcentral
GCAAGUCGAGCGCACCCUUCGGGGCGAGCGGCGGACGGGUUAGUAACGCGUGGGAACGUACCCUUGUCUACGGAAUAGCCUUUGGAAACGAAGAGUAAUACCGUAUACGCCCUUUGGGGGAAAGAUUUAUCGGAGAAGGAUCGGCCCGCGUUAGAUUAGGUAGUUGGUGGGGUAACGGCCUACCAAGCCUACGAUCUAUAGCUGGUUUGAGAGGAUGAUC